This 818-nucleotide long non-coding RNA is filed under the name Olea europaea subsp. europaea. Lineage: Eukaryota; Viridiplantae; Streptophyta; Magnoliopsida; Lamiales; Oleaceae. The record is from RNAcentral.
AGUUAAUGUCCAGUAGUGGAAUCCACAAGUUGGUCUUUUCUCGACAGUGGGAAGCUAUCUUUAGGGCAUGCUUUGUUCAAGUUCGUGAAGUCUACGCACACCCUCCAUUUCCCGCUAGGCUUCUUCACAAGGACCAAGUUGGAUAUCCACUUCGGAUAUAUGGCUUCUUUGAUGAAGCCGCUGCUGUUAAGUUUGUUGACUUCGUCUUUCAAUGCCUUGUACUGCUCCGGGUUGAGGGCUCGUCUUUUCUACUGAUGUGAGGCACAGGAGGAGUUGAUGUUAAGGCGAUGGCAAAUGAUCCUUGAGUCUAUUCCCACCAUGUCUUCGUGCUUCCAAGUGAAGACAUCAAAGUUCCUUUUCAGGAAGCUUAUCAUUUCUUCUUUCGCUUCGAGGGAUAAUGUCUUUCCAAUUCGCAAGACUUGACUGGGGUUCUCUGGGUUGACGGAGAAAGUUUCAAGUUCUUCAAUUGGGAUCGCAUUCGGUUCUGAGUCAGUAAUUCGGGGGUCUAACUCAUCAAGAGGGUGCCCUUCUUCAGGGGCCUCUUCCAUAUCGAUGUCUUCCUCCUGUUCGGAGGUAUGCCCUUGUUCAGGGGUGUCGAGCAUUUUCACGUCCAAGUCGGCUUCGUUCGCAACCUCUGUUAUGAUCACGUUAACAGUGCGGGGCUCUGAUUUUCACAGAGUUUAGGUAACAUGCUCUGGAGCCCAUUUGGUCACCUCGGACCGUAGCAAUUCCAUGCUCAGUUGGGAACUUUAUACACAAGUAAUGCAUGGAGGUGACAGCCCAAAGAUCUUUCAAGGCGAGUUUGCCCAAUACUCCGU